UUUUUUUUGCUAAACAAGUGGGUCUCAAAACAGGUGGGUCUCAUAACAGGUGGGGCUCUAAACAGGUGGGGCUCAAAACAGGUGGGGCUCUAAACAGGUGGGGCUCUAAACAGGUGGGUCUCAAAACAGGUGGGUCUCAUAACAGGUGGGGCUCUAAACAGGUGGGGCUCAAAACAGGUGGGGCUCUAAACAGGUGGGGCUCUAAACAGGUGGGUCUCAAAACAGGUGGGUCUCAUAACAGGUGGGGCUCUAAACAGGUGGGUCUCAAAACAGGAGGGGCUCUAAACAGGUGGGCCUCUAAACAGGUGGGCCUCUAAACAAAUCAACUCUGCCAUGAAUGACUGGUCGCCACUGGCUCUUAUAACCUCCACC
Long non-coding RNA from Oncorhynchus tshawytscha (Chinook salmon), 372 nucleotides. The record is from Ensembl. NCBI's taxonomy places the organism in Eukaryota, Metazoa, Chordata, Actinopteri, Salmoniformes, Salmonidae.